RNAcentral lists this ribosomal RNA (490 nucleotides) under uncultured bacterium. Its description in RNAcentral is "partial 16S ribosomal RNA". It matches the Rfam family "Bacterial small subunit ribosomal RNA", at positions 30 to 507 of the family's 1533-position model. The record is from RNAcentral.
AUUGAACGCUGGCGGCAGGCCUAACACAUGCAAGUCGAGCGGUAACAGGAAGAAGCUUGCUUCUUUGCUGACGAGUGGCGGACGGGUGAGUAAUGUCUGGGAAACUGCCUGAUGGAGGGGGAUAACUACUGGAAACGGUAGCUAAUACCGCAUAACGUCGCAAGACCAAAGAGGGGGACCUUCGGGCCUCUUGCCAUCGGAUGUGCCCAGAUGGGAUUAGCUAGUAGGUGGGGUAACGGCUCACCUAGGCGACGAUCCCUAGCUGGUCUGAGAGGAUGACCAGCCACACUGGAACUGAGACACGGUCCAGACUCCUACGGGAGGCAGCUGUGGGGAAUAUUGCACAAUGGGCGCAAGCCUGAUGCAGCCAUGCCGCGUGUAUGAAGAAGGCCUUCGGGUUGUAAAGUACUUUCAGCGGGGAGGAAGGGAGUAAAGUUAAUACCUUUGCUCAUUGACGUUACCCGCAGAAGAAGCACCGGCUAACUCCGUG